GGGGUUGUAGCUCAGAGGAAGAGCAUUUGCCUAACAUGUAUGAGGCACUGGGUUUGAUUCUCAGCACCACA
RNAcentral lists this transfer RNA (71 nucleotides) under Marmota monax (woodchuck). RNAcentral describes it as "tRNA.Val". It matches the Rfam family "tRNA". Rfam says of the family: Transfer RNA (tRNA) molecules are approximately 80 nucleotides in length. Their secondary structure includes four short double-helical elements and three loops (D, anti-codon, and T loops). The record is from RNAcentral. Lineage: Eukaryota; Metazoa; Chordata; Mammalia; Rodentia; Sciuridae.